This 138-nucleotide transfer RNA is filed under the name Streptomyces sp. HNM0575. Its description in RNAcentral is "tRNA-Ser". Lineage: Bacteria; Bacillati; Actinomycetota; Actinomycetes; Kitasatosporales; Streptomycetaceae. The record is from RNAcentral.
GCGGUGGCCACGGGCCCAGUCCCGGUGCAGGGUUGAACGCCCCUGAACGACCGUGUACAAGGCGCUCAUCAGCGCGAACAGACCUCGAAAGCGAGUGAGGGGCAACCCUCCGUGGGUUCAAAUCCCACCGCUACCGCU